CCCUUAGAUGUUCUGGGCCGCACGCGCGCUACACUGAUGCAUUCAACGAGCCUAUCCUUGACCGACAGGUCCGGGUAAUCUUUGAAUCUGCAUCGUGACGGGGAUAGAUUAUUGCAAUUAUUAAUCUUCAACGAGGAAUGCCUAGUAGGCGCAAGUCAUCAGCUUGCGUCGAUUACGUCCCUGCCCUUUGUACACACCGCCCGUCGCUCCUACCGAUUGGGUGUGCUGGUGAAAUGUUCGGAUCGGCCGUUUGUCGCGGUUUCCGCGUCAUGUGGCUGAGAAGUUCAUUAAACCCUCCCACCGAGAGGAAGGAGAAGUCGUAAC
Molecule: ribosomal RNA, 324 nt
Filed under: uncultured eukaryote
Lineage: Eukaryota
Description: partial 18S ribosomal RNA
Rfam family: Eukaryotic small subunit ribosomal RNA
Source: RNAcentral